Molecule: ribosomal RNA, 253 nt
Filed under: uncultured bacterium
Lineage: Bacteria
Description: partial 16S ribosomal RNA
Rfam family: Bacterial small subunit ribosomal RNA
Source: RNAcentral
UACGUAGGGACCGAGCGUUGUCCGGAUUCAUUGGGCGUAAAGAGCUCGUAGGCGGCCACUCAAGUCGAAUGUGAAACCUCGAGGCUUAACCUCGAGCCUGCAUUCGAUACUGGGCGGCUAGAGUCUGGUAGGGGGAUCUGGAAUUCCUGGUGUAGCGGUGGAAUGCGCAGAUAUCAGGAGGAACACCGGUGGCGAAGGCGGCCUUCUGGACAGUGACUGACGCUGAGACGCGAAAGCGUGGGGAGCAAACAGG